Molecule: long non-coding RNA, 929 nt
Filed under: Gallus gallus (chicken)
Lineage: Eukaryota; Metazoa; Chordata; Aves; Galliformes; Phasianidae
Source: RNAcentral
ACACAGUCCUUGGCCACGGUGGAAAGAAACUGUCUGGAUAACAAAGGAAAUGGAAGAUUUGCUACUAAGCAGAGCAGCCAUCGCUCACUGAGCCAGUUGUCCUUAGUGACAUCGGAGUGUGCUGUUAGGAUGGAUGUGGUGACAUUCAUGAGGAAGGAGCGCUAUCGAAAAAAAUAGUUCUCAAUUUCUGAAAGCCCAUCCCAAGUAAUGAUCAUCCCAGUAGAUGAAGGGCAAAAAAGACUUUUCAGGGAAAUGAAGAUAACUCCACCUCUGGAAAAGAUUUCUUUACUGUUGUUUCAUUCCAAACAGAACAAAUCUUUUUGACAUCGUGUUCAGAUUUACUCACUCUGUGCUUCUCUUCCUCUCCUAUAUAUUUUACACCAUUGAUUCUAAGUAAGGUUUGAAAGCUCAUUUAAAUUCCAGCUUCAUUUACAAUUCUCACUAUUAUCAUACAAAAAUGCACUCAGGCUCAGACCCAAUGCCCUGAGCACCUGAGACCCAGGGCACUCUGAAGGAUGCUUUGAGCGGGCUGCUUAUUAGGCUGGGCUGGGGCUUUUGCACUGAGGGAUGGAAGGAAAAGCUCACAGCGGAAUUUGACACGGCUACUGAGAUCAAAUUUGAGCAAGAAGCAAAGUAACCCCAGCAUAGACCUUGUGUCAGGGAGCAGCUGGCAUCUUGGCUGGACAGGGACUACAGACAGAGCAUGGAAAUUCCCACUGCUCUUGUUGGUAAUGCACAAGUGUCUUUGUGCUCUCUGAUGUGCAGAAUGCAAGCACAUGAUUUUCUCUUUGCUUUCUACCACCAACCAUGCAGAAUAUUGGAAGCAAUCUUCUCCUCAAAGAAGUUAUCUCCAGAUGAACACAGGCUAAGGCUGAGGAGAUGAAAAUCGUUGGGCCUGACAUGAGCAGCUCCCCAUAUGCAAAAUAUAG